RNAcentral lists this long non-coding RNA (431 nucleotides) under Salmo trutta (river trout). Its description in RNAcentral is "lncRNA (ENSSTUG00000032839.1)". Lineage: Eukaryota; Metazoa; Chordata; Actinopteri; Salmoniformes; Salmonidae. The record is from RNAcentral.
CAGAGCUUGUGGGCAGAGGGAGCGUUAUGAGGAGUCCAUGAAGAAGGCUUUUAUGAGGGGUGUGUGUCCUCAACAUGGAGGGCCCUGGCAUGUUCCACACUGGAAAGGGACGCAUGACCUGCACGAUGCUCCGCCCCUCCAGCACGAUCCUGGCUCAGGCUCAUUGGCCCGCCGCCUCUGUUCGGUUCAGCCUACUCCACUUUGACCCCCCUGUACCAUCGUCCCAGAGUGACAGAGAUGGUGGGUUCCAGGGCAGAGGUGUUCCACAGCACCCUACCACCAGGGGGCACUGCAAGCUCCCACAGAGCACAGACCGGUUUGUACUGACAUUGAUCUAUGGCACUGGGAGCUUAUUGUGGCUAUGUCCCGAUUCUCUACCCCUCUCCCACUUUGUCAUGGAUCUACAAUCAUUGGAUUGGUGUUAUCAUUGA